RNAcentral lists this unclassified non-coding RNA (343 nucleotides) under Hevea brasiliensis (rubber tree). Lineage: Eukaryota; Viridiplantae; Streptophyta; Magnoliopsida; Malpighiales; Euphorbiaceae. The record is from RNAcentral.
UUCCCUAACCUCACAUAAAAUCUACUCGCUAUCACUAGCCAAACACACAUGAAUUUUUCUUUUCUAUUGGGAGCAUGCAUGUAAUUAGCAGCAAACUGCAAGGAUGGGAGUGAUUCUAAAUUCACUUCAUUCAUACAUGCGCGCAAACAAAAGAUGUACUAUCACAACGGAAGAAUAAUUGUUCUUCUUCAAAAAAUAUGCAGAUGCAGCAAGAUGUAAAUGUACUUCUCAAUACCUCCAAAAGUAGACACUGUACAUCACGCAUUCCAAAAGAAAUUCUUUCCAUCAAAAUAUACUAGAAAUGAAAUACAAGGGGUGAUAAGGGGAGAGAGAGAGAGAGAGA